RNAcentral lists this small nucleolar RNA (189 nucleotides) under Nothobranchius furzeri (turquoise killifish). Its description in RNAcentral is "Small nucleolar RNA U3 (ENSNFUG00015008924.1)". It matches the Rfam family "Small nucleolar RNA U3". From Rfam's summary of the family: Small nucleolar RNAs (snoRNAs) are involved in the processing and modification of rRNA in the nucleolus. There are two main classes of snoRNAs: the box C/D class, and the box H/ACA class. U3 snoRNA is a member of the box C/D class. Lineage: Eukaryota; Metazoa; Chordata; Actinopteri; Cyprinodontiformes; Nothobranchiidae. The record is from Rfam by way of RNAcentral.
CGGUUCGUUCGCGACCGACACAUCACUAUAAUGUGCUCAGUCUUACCAACCACAAUGAUGAGUCUUGAUAUUCUCUUCAGUGUAUGAACUUGACAGGAGUUAAUAAUUCACUUCAUAUGAUUCCUGCCAUUGCUGAUUGUUCGUUUCUUCUUUUUGGAGUGAUGAGGGGGAGAAUAUGAUCAGAGUGGU